ACGUAGGGGGCGAGCGUUGUCCGGAUUUACUGGGCGUAAAGAGCGCGUAGGCGGCUUGUUAAGUUGGCUGUGAAAGUCCCUGGCCUAACUGGGGAAAGUCGGCCGAGACUGGCAGGCUUGAGAGCGGUAGAGGAAGGUGGAAUUCCGGGUGUAGUGGUGAAAUGCGUAGAUAUCCGGAGGAACACCGGUGGCGAAGGCGGCCUUCUGGGCCGUUUCUGACGCUGAGGCGCGAAAGCGUGGGUAGCGAACUGAAUUAGAUACUCAGGUAGUCCACGCCCUAAACGAUGGACGCUAGGUGUAGGGGGUAUCGACCCCUCCUGUGCCGAAGCUAACGCAUUAAGCGUCCCGCCUGGGGAGUACGGCCGCAAGGCUA
This 373-nucleotide ribosomal RNA is filed under the name uncultured bacterium. RNAcentral describes it as "bacterial SSU rRNA". It matches the Rfam family "Bacterial small subunit ribosomal RNA", at positions 525 to 896 of the family's 1533-position model. The record is from RNAcentral.